UGGAGAGUUUUGGAAGCUGUGAGCUCUGAUAGAGAAAUGUAUCAACCGCCACGAACAGGUUGGCGUAUUGGGGCGGAUUGUUCUGUCCUCUGUAUUUCAGACCAAAGCAAGACAAUGUUUAAAGCUCACUAUGGAUCUACUAACAGGCUGUCAGGCUGUCUAGUCACAGAGGAAGGCUGUGCUUC
This is a long non-coding RNA of Coregonus clupeaformis (lake whitefish), 185 nucleotides long. RefSeq lists it as uncharacterized. NCBI's taxonomy places the organism in Eukaryota, Metazoa, Chordata, Actinopteri, Salmoniformes, Salmonidae. The record is from RefSeq and is a predicted model, not a curated record. The transcript is spliced from 3 exons.